GAUGAACGCUAGCGGCAGGCUUAAUACAUGCAAGUCGAGGGGCAGCAGGUCUGUAGCAAUACAGAUGCUGGCGACCGGCAAACGGGUGCGGAACACGUACAGAACCUUCCUUCGAGCGGGGAAUAGCCCAGAGAAAUUUGGAUUAAUACCCCAUAGUACAUUGAAGAGGCAUCUCUUUAAUAUUAAAGAUUUAUCACUUGAAGAUGGCUGUGCGGCNGAUUAGGUAGUUGGCGGGGUAACGGCCCACCAAGCCUACGAUCAGUAACUGGUGUGAGAGCACGACCAGUCACACGGGCACUGAGACACGGGCCCCGACCCCUACGGGAGGCAGCAGUAAGGAAUAUUGGUCAAUGGACGCAAGUCUGAACCAG
This 371-nucleotide ribosomal RNA is filed under the name uncultured bacterium. RNAcentral describes it as "bacterial SSU rRNA". It matches the Rfam family "Bacterial small subunit ribosomal RNA", at positions 28 to 391 of the family's 1533-position model. The record is from RNAcentral.